UGGAACUGGGGACAGACAGGAGGCCA
RNAcentral lists this non-coding RNA (26 nucleotides) under Mus musculus (house mouse). Lineage: Eukaryota; Metazoa; Chordata; Mammalia; Rodentia; Muridae. The record is from RNAcentral.